CAGCCGCAGAGAGAAGAAGCUGCCCAAGAAUGGAAAGGAAGAAAUAUAUCACAUCAUCUGUCUGUCCACAGGCUUUCCUUGGGGCUUAUGAAGGUAUUUUAGAAUUUUUAUAUUGGCAUUUUUCAGGGGAGAUAAAGGUGAACCCUCAAGGGCAGUCAGGCAUCAGUCUUGAAAGUUUGGGCUUCCUUGUUGGUACACUAACCUGACUUUAAUAGCUUUCUUAUUUAGUCAAUAAUCAAGGUUACUAUCAACGACUUUGUUUUUAGGAUUGAAGUUGUCAUGUAUGAUAUUGUCAGGUGUAUUGCUGUGCAUUCAGUGACCUUUUGCUAUUUUGAAUUGGGGCUAGUUAUUGAUUUUUCUCUUUUUUUAGCUUAGUUUCUGAUAAAUUCUUUAAUGCAUAUUUUGGUAUUUGUACCUUAUAAGUAUGAACCCAGAAAGCAAAAUUCAAGUAUCCUUAGCUAUUUCUAACAAAAUGCAUUUUAGAAAAUGAUAAGGUUUGCAGUUGGAGUCUUAGCUUUAUUUAUAUUCAUAAGCCUUUCAUCUUUAUACAUACU
Molecule: long non-coding RNA, 554 nt
Filed under: Lynx pardinus (Iberian lynx)
Lineage: Eukaryota; Metazoa; Chordata; Mammalia; Carnivora; Felidae
Source: RNAcentral